CUCCAUUUUUAUGAAUAAUUAGCACUUUCAGGGGGUUGCUUUUACCUAAGAUGUAAAAAUCUUAAAGAAUACUUUAAAGCCAGAGCUUAAGGGGCACUAUGCCAUCUAAAUAAAUCCAAUUUAUAAAUACUCCCAGCAAUGGAAAAACUCAGGAAUGAGAGGCGAACACUGUUUUUUUCCUUCCCAGCCCAAGCUCCAUGUUUUCAGAGCUCUGGUUUGGAUUAUGUUUGGAACUGGAAAGUCUCCCUGACAAAGAGCAGAUGGCUGAGGCACUGAUCCUGCCAGAUGCUGAUUUAGUCUGGACCCAGUCCAGAAGAGCACUUUGGCUUUGUGCGUAACUUUAAGCACAGGACUAACUCAAGGAUUCUCCCAUGCUCAGAGGUGAACCAGGAUUGGAACAGCAGCGUCCAGCACCCUGCAGGAUCAGCCACUGAACCAUCUGCAACAUCCACCUCCAAACCUGGAGCUGCAAACCCACUCCUGCAGCCAGCAACGCUGCAAGUCCAGCAGGAAAUCCCAGCCAGAGCCCAGCAGAGCCAGGAGGCCCUGAAUCCACUGCACAUUCCCAGUCUGGACGUGUGGAACAUCAGCCAGUGUCACCACAGACACCUGGGGGACACUGAACAGAUACAACACAAGCUUGGGGGAUCAAGGACUCUACGAGGGAAUGCAACUGCAGUUGGCUGGAGCAGCUGGAACCCAAAGCAAUAUUUGCUGGAAGAGUCUGGAGGGAGCACAGGAGAGAAACUCUGGGACAAAGAAGAAAGGCAAAGUGGUGAAGGAGCUUAUUCAUCCCACUUUUGAAUUAACUCGUGCUUCAGUACUCUCCUCACUCCCUAGGUGGUGGCCAGAGCAUGCUGGCUGCUCCAAAAGGGCUCAGCAGGAGCCCUGAUGGAUGCACAUGAGUUGGACAAGGUGAGGAUGAAACACAGUCUGCUUGGCCAGAAAUAGAUUUGAGGGCGUUGUUUAUGUUUAGUUCUGAGACAGCUUUGCACUCCAGCCUGGAAUAACUCUUUUCUCUCACAUUUCUCCUCCUUAGCUGGCUCAGAUUUUGAGCCACCAGCUGUUUGCUAGGAUUGUUCCUUCUCCUUGCUCCCUCCCUUCCAAAUUCUUCAGGACAUUAUUUUCUUGAAGCUUUUCUCAGUAAGAAUUUAAUCAAAUAAAACAAAACCACA
Non-coding RNA from Taeniopygia guttata (zebra finch), 1175 nucleotides. NCBI's taxonomy places the organism in Eukaryota, Metazoa, Chordata, Aves, Passeriformes, Estrildidae. The record is from RefSeq and is a predicted model, not a curated record.